UUAAGCAUAUCAAUAAGCGGAGGAAAAGAAACCAACCGGGAUUGCCCCAGUAGCGGCGAGUGAAGCGGCAAAAGCUCCAUUUUGAAAGCGCCUCGGCGCGUUGUAGAGCGGUGCGGUCUUAAGGGUGGCGUGGCAGCGAAGUCCCCUGGAACGGGGUGCCAGAGAGGGUGAGAGCCCCGUGCGCUGUGCCAAGCCCAGAAGUCCGUGCCACGGAGUCGAGUUGUUUGGGAAUGCAGCUCUAAGUGGGUGGUAAAUUCCAUCUAAGGCUAAAUACCGGCGAGAGACCGAUAGCGAACAAGUACAGUGAUGGAAAGAUGAAAAGCACUUUGAAAAGAGAGUGAAACAGUACGUGAAAUUGUUGAAAGGGAAGGGUAUUUGGCCCGACAUGGGUCCUGCGCACCGCUGCCUCUUGUGGGCGGCGCUCUGCCGGGGCCUGGGCCAGCAUCAGUUUUCUGGCGGGGAGAAUGCGGCACGAACCACUAUGUGGGGACUGCUGCGAUGCCCGCACGGGGGACUGAGGACUGCCGCAGUAGGAUGCUGGCACAACGGCCAAAUACCGCCCAU
RNAcentral lists this ribosomal RNA (564 nucleotides) under Saturnispora mendoncae. RNAcentral's name for it is "LSU rRNA". It matches the Rfam family "Eukaryotic large subunit ribosomal RNA", at positions 34 to 652 of the family's 3401-position model. The record is from RNAcentral. Lineage: Eukaryota; Fungi; Ascomycota; Pichiomycetes; Pichiales; Pichiaceae.